RNAcentral lists this ribosomal RNA (250 nucleotides) under uncultured archaeon. RNAcentral's name for it is "partial 16S ribosomal RNA". It matches the Rfam family "Archaeal small subunit ribosomal RNA", at positions 474 to 724 of the family's 1478-position model. The record is from RNAcentral.
UCCCAGCAGUCCAAGUCGCAACCACAUUUGUUGGGUCUAAAACAUCCGUAGCUCGCUUCGUAAGUCUCCUGUGAAAUCCUUCAUCUUAAGUGGAGAAUUGCAUGAGAUACUGCGGAGCUAGAGACCGGGAGGCGUAUCGAGUACGAAGGGAGUAGCGGUAAAAUGCGUUGAUCCUCUUUGGACUAACAGUCGCGAAGGCGCGAUACGAGCACGGUUCUGACAGUGAGGGAUGAAGGCUAGGGGCGCAAAG